RNAcentral lists this ribosomal RNA (1460 nucleotides) under metagenome. RNAcentral describes it as "bacterial SSU rRNA". It matches the Rfam family "Bacterial small subunit ribosomal RNA". The record is from RNAcentral.
GUUUGAUCCUGGCUCAGGAUGAACGCUAGCGGCGUGCCUAAUGCAUGCAAGUCGAACGGGAUCCCAUAGAUUCGUCUAAGGGUGAGAGUGGCGAACGGGUGAGUAACACGUUGGUGACCUGCCCCAGAGAGGGGGACAACCAGUGGAAACGCUGGCUAAUACCCCGGAUGUCAAGGUUUUUAGAAACCCUUGAUUGAAGCUCCGGCGCUCUGGGAGGGGCCUGCGGUCCAUCAGCUUGUUGGUAGGGUAACGGCCUACCAAGGCGAAGACGGAUAGGGGGCGUGAGAGCGUGACCCCCCACACUGGUACUGACACACGGACCAGAUACCUGCGGGUAGCAGCAGCAAGGAAUAUUGCCCAAUGGACGAAAGUCUGAGGCAGCAACGCCGCGUGAAGGAAGAAGGCUUUCGGGUUGUAAACUUCUUUUUUGGGGGAAGAGAAAGGACGGUACCCCAAGAAUAAGAUCCGGCUAACUACGUGCCAGCAGCCGCGGUAAAACGUAGGGAUCGAGCGUUAUCCGGAUUUACUGGGCGUAAAGCGCGUGCAGGCGGUUUUCUAAGUCGGACGUGAAAGCUCCUGGCCCAACUGGGAGAGGCCGUUCGAAACUGGAAGACUUGAGGAUGGUAGAGGUAAGUGGAAUUCCCGGUGUAGUGGUGAAAUGCGUAGAUAUCGGGAGGAACACCAGUGGCGAAGGCGGCUUACUGGGCCAUUCCUGACGCUGAGACGCGAAAGCUAGGGGAGAGAACGGGAUUAGAAACCCCGGUAUUCCUAGCCGUAAACGAUGUCAACUAGGUGUAGGGGGUAUCCAACCCCCCUGUGCUGUAGCUAACGCGUUAAGUUGACCGCCUGGGGACUACGGCCGCAAGGCUAAAACUCAAAGGAAUUGACGGGGACCCGCACAAGCAGCGGAGCGUGUGGUUUAAUUCGAGCUACGCGAAGAACCUUACCAGGGUUUGACAUGUACGUGGUAGGAAGGUGAAAGCCGACUGACCCUUCGGGGAGCGUACACAGGUGCUGCAUGGCUGUCGUCAGCUCGUGCCGUGAGGUGUUAGGUUAAGUCCUGUAACGAGCGCAACCCUCGUCGUUAGUUAUACGUGUCUAACGAGACUGCCGGUGAUAAGCCGGAGGAAGGUGGGGAUGACGUCAAGUCAGCAUGGCCUUUAUAUCCUGGGCUACACACACGCUACAAUGGCCGGUACAAUGGGUAGCCAAGCCGCGAGGCGGAGCCAAUCCUUCAAAGCUGGUCUCAGUUCGGAUUGUAGGCUGCAACUCGCCUGCAUGAAGUCGGAGUUGCUAGUAAACGCGCGUCAGCAACAGUGCGUUGAAUACGUUCCCGGGUCUUGUACACACCGCCCGUCACGUCAUGGAAGUUGGCAACGCCUGAAGUCAGUGAGCUAACCCUAACGGGAGGCAGCUGCCCAAGGCGGGGUCGGUAACUGGGACGAAGUCGUAACAAGGUA